Molecule: transfer RNA, 85 nt
Filed under: Felis catus (domestic cat)
Lineage: Eukaryota; Metazoa; Chordata; Mammalia; Carnivora; Felidae
Rfam family: tRNA
About the family: Transfer RNA (tRNA) molecules are approximately 80 nucleotides in length. Their secondary structure includes four short double-helical elements and three loops (D, anti-codon, and T loops). Further hydrogen bonds mediate the characteristic L-shaped molecular structure. tRNAs have two regions of fundamental functional importance: the anti-codon, which is responsible for specific mRNA codon recognition, and the 3' end, to which the tRNAs corresponding amino acid is attached (by aminoacyl-tRNA synthetases). tRNAs cope with the degeneracy of the genetic code in two manners: having more than one tRNA (with a specific anti-codon) for a particular amino acid; and 'wobble' base-pairing, i.e. permitting non-standard base-pairing at the 3rd anti-codon position.
Source: Rfam by way of RNAcentral
GCCUGGGUGGCUCAGUCGGUUAAGCGUCUGACUUCAGCUCAGGUCACGAUCUUUCAGUCUGUGAGUUCGAGCCCCGCAUCGGGCU